CGGAAACCGAAUCGGUAGCUGGUCUGAGAGGUGAUCAGCCACACUGGGACUGAGACACAAGCCCAGACUCCUACGGGAGGCAGCAGUGGGGAAUAUUGGACAAUGGGGGCAACCCUGAUCCAGCAAUGCCGCGUGUGUGAAGAAGGCCUGAGGGUUGUAAAGCACUUUCAGUGGGGAGGAGGGUUGACAGGUUAAGAGCUAGUUAACUGGACGUUACCCACAGAAGAAGCACCGGCUAACUCCGUGCCAGCAGCCGCGGUAAUACGGAGGGUGCGAGCGUUAAUCGGAAUUACUGGGCGUAAAGGGUGCGUAGGUGGUUUGAUAAGUUAACUGUGAAAGCCCCGGGCUUAACCUGGGAGGGUCAGUUAAGACUGUUGGACUAGAGUAUGGGAGAGGGUAGUGGAAUUUCCGGUGUAGCGGUGAAAUGCGUAGAGAUCGGAAGGAACACCAGUGGCGAAGGCGGCUACCUGGCCUAAUACUGACACUGAGGCACGAAAGCGUGGGGAGCAAACAGGAUUAUAUACCCUGGUAGUCCACGCUGUAAACGAUGUCAACUAGCUGUUGGUCUUAUGAAUGAAAUUAGUGGCGCACCAAACGCGAUAAGUUGA
This 608-nucleotide ribosomal RNA is filed under the name uncultured Legionella sp. RNAcentral's name for it is "bacterial SSU rRNA". It matches the Rfam family "Bacterial small subunit ribosomal RNA", at positions 269 to 868 of the family's 1533-position model. Lineage: Bacteria; Pseudomonadati; Pseudomonadota; Gammaproteobacteria; Legionellales; Legionellaceae. The record is from RNAcentral.